RNAcentral lists this long non-coding RNA (314 nucleotides) under Pan troglodytes (chimpanzee). RNAcentral's name for it is "long non-coding RNA NONPTRT012041". Lineage: Eukaryota; Metazoa; Chordata; Mammalia; Primates; Hominidae. The record is from RNAcentral.
UGGGAGUGGAAAAGGAACAAGGAAAUCUGUAACCGGUUAUGAUCAAUUAGUUGUAAACACCACUGCACGAGGACCAGCCCAAAGCUGCUACUUAACCAAGUGACUUUCUGAUUGCUCAACUGUGUUUCCACUGAGAAAAAUGCAUUGAAAUGAAACAUCUCAUUUCCAGUACUGUCCUGAGGCAAAAAGAGACAAUGAUACGUAUCUCCAAUUUAGACUGGAUGAAACUAGCCACAUUUCAAAUAAAGAAGUCACAUUGUAAGUGUAAAACGACGUUAACCUUAAAGGAGACAUUUCCGCCCUGUAUAACUAUG